Molecule: long non-coding RNA, 8039 nt
Organism: Rattus norvegicus (Norway rat)
Lineage: Eukaryota; Metazoa; Chordata; Mammalia; Rodentia; Muridae
Source: RefSeq, a predicted model, not a curated record
UUUCCGAAUAUUGUGUUCAACUUUUUGAAAGCAGCUCGUGACCCCGAAACUGCAUCCCCCCCGGAGCCGGGGACCCAGGCGCCAGGCGGGCGGGUGAACCCGGCCAGUCCCUCCCAAUCCCCGCAACCCCCCGCCUCCGUGUGUGGGGGGGGGACCCAGGCCUGGAGGAAGGCUGGGCAGGUGCCGAGGGCUGUGCCGAAAGCGCUGAAAUCGAAAACCCUCGCCACUCAGGAAGAAUUGAGGCACAAGGAUUACAGAUGCAGCUCGGGAACAGCCCUGUACUCCAGCCAGUGCCUGGUCGCCCGUGGGCCCACCGGGCUCCGCGGUUCGCUGGCGGCGCCGCCUUGUGAGCGCUAAAGCCGGGAGGAGGGCUCAGGCAAGGCGCGCAGCUCUGAGCGCGCCCCUACCCGCUUCGGCCCGCAGCAGCCGGGACUUGCCUCUCCGCAAGUAAGGCUCUGCGCCGCCCUCUGAGUCCACCUCCAGGCCACAACACUGCCAGCGCUUCUGCAGCUUAGACUGGAAACACUAUGCUGCCUCCCGAAGCCGGGCCAGCUGUAAAUCAGUGAAGCAGCCCAGCUCCUCAAAGAUCCGGAGCUGGCCGACCCCAGACUGAUUCUCAACAGGUGGCUGGGAAUAAGUGCUCUGAGGUUUGAACUCUGAAGUAUAAACUUACUCUGGCUGUGGUGGCAUAGACUUGUGGUACGUCAGCAGUCCACGGUCAGCCUUGUCUACAUAGCAAGUUUAAGGCCAGUCUGGACUACAUGAGACCAUGUCUGAAAAAAAGAAAAGCCCCAAGUGGAAAACGGAAAGCAGAAAAGAGAAUAUUCCUAGUGCGACAAGAAAUGUUCACCUCUCUCGAUGAUUUCUCUGCAGAAUGUGUUUAUAUGCUACGUGAUCUGUGGAGAAUCACCAAGCUGUGGAGGAAGAGAGGAAUAUGUAGACCCAAGCAGAAUUCUCAAAGAAUUUCUAGACGCUCCGAACCCAAGUCACACAGGCUUUAAGUAUUGGUCAAUCUCCAGGAAUGAAACAGAAACUUACUCCACCACUCAAGUCCUGUUUCUGAUCGAGGGACUAAAGGGCUAGGCCAACCAGUGGUUGCCAUGGAAGCUGCAUUAUGGAGUCCUGUCCUGCAAGGAGAGUUAGAUUAGAAGGAGCUGGGAUUCUUGGAAUCUGCAGAAGCAGCAUGCUGGGUAGGAAGAACCCAGAAAGCGUGCCUCUGAGACAGUCAGUCUGUCCACAUACAAAAGGCAGGCACCCACAGGGCUGGGGGGGCUAUUAAGUCAAACCUGGAGUCACAACCCCAGUGCCGUCAGACGGUCCCCAACCCUUUGCAGCAAGGUAGACAUGUGUCAGUGUGGCUGAAAAGCUUCUUCUGUGAGGUUUAACAACUUUCUGGUGUAACUUCUGAGAGGACUGAUUGCUUAUUCAUGUGGAAGCAAGACGCCCAGUUCACUUCGCCUGUUUCUGCUCCUCUUUGUUGGUUCGGGGGGGGGGGGGAGUGUUAUGGUAGCUGCAAAUGGCUUCUCGGGUGACAUUUGCUGACAUUCAGUGAAGUACAUUUAUCAGCAUUCACUAGCUCACCUCCGCGCAUGCAAUCCAUUUUGUUUUGUUCUUCGUAGCAACCUCCUUCCCAACACCCAUGCCCUGAAAACGAUGAAGGGCACGGCGGUGUAUUUCUCAAGCUGCACUCAAAUGUCACUGUGAAAAAUCUUUAAUGGACUAAGUGUAGCUUUUCACGUUACAACUUGUCAGGUACUGAGAAAUUCUAGAGUUUCUCCUUAAUCCACAAGUCAUUGGAACCACACAUCUGCAGGUAGAGACUAAUUACAAGCUGUACGCGUCAGAACCUGGGCAAGCAGAGACCAAGGAGAAAACAUUCGGUAUCAGUUAAUUCUUUAUUACCAUCAUCAUUAUUAUUAUUAUUCCCAUUCAACUUUUGCUGCCUCCUUUCCUACUUGGAGGGUACGCUGGGUAUGAGCAAUGUGUUACUCUAAUUAAUCCAGUGACAGCCUUCAACUAGCUCUCCAGGCAGGCUUAGUCGCUACACACUCAGCUUUCCCCAUCGCCCUUCUCAUCUUCCCCUCCAAGCUAUCUGACUCUGAACCAGAAGCCUGGUCCCUUAGGGUUGGCCAGAAGGGCGUCAUUGGGGGCGUCAUUGGGAGGUGCCUGAUACCACCUAGUCAUUGCUCAUCAGAGAGCGUGGCCAUUGGAGCCUCACCAAUGAAUAAGCCUGCAUCUUCCUCCCCUAGCCCACACCUGGUGGGAGCCAUGCCACAUUCACAAUGGUGGCCUGCAGACUCCCACUGAGCCUUGCAUAGGGCUUGCUGGGUCUCAUUUUACCCCCUUUGAAUGGGCUCAGUGGCUUUUCUCAGUAAGCAAAUUUGCCCACACUCCCCUGCCCUGCUUCUCAGUUCACCCCCCACCCCCCACCCCCCCCCCAGUGUCACUGUGAUGGGUGGGUCUUCUGGGAUGCUAUUGGCUGACUCAGGUGCAAUUAUCACCAUCAUUAUUAUCAUUAUUAUUGUAUUUUAUUUAUAUGAGUUUGGCUCAUAUAAAUUUUAUUUAUACACUGUGGCUGUCUUCAGACACAGCAGAAGAGGGCAUCGGAUCCCAUUACAGAUGGUUGUGAGUCACCAUGUGGUUGCUGGGAUUUGAACUCAGGACCUCUGGAAGAGCAGUCGGUGUUCUUAACCGCUGAGCCACCUCUCCAGCCCCACAGAUGGAAUCUUAUGAGUGAACUUCAGAGAGACAUCUUGCCCCUUCCACAAUGUAAACUAGGAAGUAGGAUCUCACAAGCACUGACUCUGCCAGUCCCAUGACCUUCAAACUCCCAGCUUCUAGAACUGUUCAGAAUAAAAUUCUGUUCCUUAUAAGGUUUCAUUUUAAUUAAUUUUAAUUUAUUUUAUUCUUUGAGAAAGGGGCUCUUGAAGACUAGACUGGCUCCAAACUUUCAGUGUAGCCAAGAAUAACCUUGGGUUUCUGGUUCUUCUACCUUCUACCUCUCCAUCAUGGGAAUUUCAAAUGCAUGCCACCGUGCCCAGGUUAGGGAGUGCUGGGGAUUGAACCCGUGGCACUGAGCAUACUAGGUAAGCAUUCUAUACCAUCUGAACCACAUCCUAACCCUUAGUUUCUGACAUUUUGUUAUAGCAGCCCGAAUGGACUAAGACAUCCCUGUAGUUGGAAGAGUUGAUUGAUCUGUGCAUGUCUAUAUUGUAUCCUAAUGAAUGCACCAUAAUCAAUUAAUAUUGAUUGUGUAGUCAAUGUUUAAAGGUCAAAGAGUAGGGGAGAGAGAACUUGAAAUACAAGAAUAAGAAUGGUAUUACUAAAAACUAUAUCGUCAUGGCUGCCAUGGGCCAGAUGCUGAAGUCGGGAAGGGCUGUACUGCUGAAGCUAUUCCCUGCCCCCACUGUCACCUGCAACUUCACCCUUGACCUUCUCCCUUUGUCCCCUACCCCACCCCCACCUCUCCACAUGAGUUACUAUUGCCUUUAUUUUUAACCCUUUGGAACCCCUCUAAUAAGUACAGAGCUUCGGUCAUGUAGAACCUUAGCUUUUAACUGUUUUGUCUAAAGUCCACAGACCUGAUCACUUGUGCUGUUGCUAAAAAUAAAGAAGAAGAAGGAGGAGGAAGAGGAGGAGGAGGAGGAGGAGGAGGAGGAGGAGGAGGAGGAGGAGGAGGAGGAGGAGGAGGAAGAGGAAGAAGAAGAGACGAAAAACAAACAGGAAAAGCCUUGUUUCUUCUGCUUCUUGUAACUGUUUUCAGUUCUUUCUGAAGUGCAGUUCUCUGGAACUGGACUAAACCUGUGGCCCCCUGCUCACAUUCCAGUUAGAGCAAAGGAAGUGCGUCAGGCAUACCCUCAAUGGCCAGGCACUGUAGGGCAGAGUAAAUCUUCACUCGUUUUAUUUUAUUUUAGUCUACUCAUUUUAAACAUCUGUCCCCCAAGUGCAGAAUGCAGAGAGCCGAGGUUAGUCCCCUGAGGACGGGCUGUAUGCCAGACUUCAUCACGACCAGAAAUGUCUGCACCCCUAGCUCUUAGAAGACGAGGGCUCACAGAAGAAGAAACACUUCAGUUGUCUGUAUAGUUUUGACAGUCAACCAAAUAGCUGGAAGGGUGAGGUCCUGUAUCAAUUUGGAAUCCACUAAAACAUGAAGUUCAGACUCAGGUGACUUUCUUAUCUAAAGCACUGGGGAAUGAACUCCAGGUUUCACACAUGCUAGGCAAACCUCGUCUUCAGGGGUGACUUUCUUUCUUUUUUUGGGGGGAAGUAGUGCGAGCAAGAUCUACCAUGUAGCCUGGCUGGCCUGAAUUCACUAUGUAGAUCAGGCUGGCCCAGAGACCCACCUGCCUCUGCUUUCUGAGUGCUGCUAUUAAAGGCACGUGGGGCGGAGGAGCCAUGUGGCAGGGGAGCUGUGUGGAACAAGAGUAAGAUCUAAGCUUGUCCAAACUCCAAAAGCCCCGUCUUAAUACUGGAAGGAUGAAGAUUGUUCUCUCAUGCCUGGCCCUCAUGUCCCGGCCCAUCCAACCUUAUGACCCCAUUACCUCUGCCACCCUUGAGGUGGUCACAAGCACCUGGAAUUCCUCUUUAUGCAAACAAAGUAGGAUCUCAGCCCCAGCCAAUGACAUACACUUACCCUGAAAGCCUCUACCUAGUUCCCAAAGGUUUAAAUGGUUCUUGUUCCACACCCCCUCCCCCAGUUAAAUGAUGUGCUCAGUGAAGCCUGCUUCCUGAGAAGUCUGUUUCUCACAGCGCUCACCCAUUGCCUAAGGUCUCCAUCACCUCUUCUUCCUCCCCCAAGCCUGGCCACCCUUGCCCAGCUUCCCCUCUCUGGCCACUGGUCUGAUCCCCUUUGAUCAAGGUGUUAAGGGAGGGGGAGUGGGGCGGGAAUUACCAUCAAAUCUGGGCCCCAGGAGUAACUUUUAAAGGCAUCAGUUAUACACGUACCUGUCUGCUUUAUUACAUGACCUAGAAGGUGUUUAAGAUAUACUGGUCAAAAGAUAAGCUCCAAGAGUGACAGCACCCUACUUUAACCCCUUUAAUCUCUUUUCCUUUUAACACAGAGAGAAACCCCAUUUCAACAAACAAACAAACAUAACAACACUCAAACAAGCCAACAGAAAGGGAGAAACACACCUGUGGUAUUCUGGCUGCUCCUUGUGGCAUCCAUGAACUUGUGCUGGUUCAGCAGAGCCUCAGGGUUCCUUCUGGAUCAAGCCCCUGACACUGCUGAUAUCCUGACAUUGAAGAUAGGAAUUACCCUGAAGAACGACUUUUAAACAGGCUCACAUCCCUGUUUCCUAUUAACCUUUCCUUCCCUCUACCUUUGACAGGUGAGCUAGUAGGGAGGUUGAAGAGUUUAAGAACCCUUGUUAACGUAGGUUUUGAAAAGUCUAAGCUUACCGGAAGUAAUACAUCCUGAGGAUUAGAAUUAUGUAUCUAAGUGUAUACAUGGGCUCAUCAAUUUGGGUCUAAUUUCCCCUUAAAAUACCAAAAAGCUUUUGUAGACCCACAUCCUGCCUCUGAUACCACAAGGGAGUUUUGUGGUGACUGGAGCAGUAUGGGUAAUGACCAUCACAGGGCUUUGACCAAGGUCAAUAUGCUGCAUUCUGGGUAUUUGUGGUACAACUCACAAAAUGCAUUUGUGCUGCAUCCUGAGGCCAGGGGUGCAGUCUUUCAGAUCUGGGAACACGGCCUUGCAGACCCAGAAGAGGCCCAGAGUUCAAGCCCUCACUGCAUCAAGGUCUCUUUUGGAGCCUGGGAACAGGCAGCAGACAGGACCUCAUGGUGGACAUCCUGACCCCAUCAGCCUCGGCAAGACCCACUCAACAGGGCAUUUUUGUUUCUUCCAGGUGGUUCUAAAGGAAGCCAGAGUUAAGAAUCAUACCUCAAGGAGGGAGGGGAAGUUGCCAUAGGGAUUUAAAUUUAAAAAUUAAUUAAAAGUGAAUAAAAUAAAAGAAUUUUACCUCCAAUCAAAACCCCUAAGUGUACAGAGUAACAGAGGGAAAGAAAUAGAUUCACACACACACACACACACACACACACACACACAAAUUAACAGAUUAACAGGCAUCUUGGGAGACCCGGAGAUCACCGUGACCUGAGAUCCACUCAAGUAUGUCUCAUUAAGUUCACCCUUCCAAGAUGGCUGGCUCAGGGCUACUGGCAAUGACAGCAAUGUUUGCAGGAGCUAAUGGGCAAUGGCCUCUUUCCACCAUGCCCUCAAAGGACGGUGGCCUUUGAUGCCAGUCGGCCAGCAUUCUGUAUUUCACAAGCCCUUCCCACCAAAGCACGUUCCCAGCUCAUUAAGUCACACCAUCAGCCAGGCCAAGAACGAAAGGUCCAAGGGAGUAGUGCAGUUUUGUUUUAAGCACCGCACAGUCGAUUAGCAUCGAGACUGAAGUGCCCAGGCAGUGGCGUGGGAGGAAUGGAGUCUCUGUUGACUUGGUGAAUCAUGUCCGAAGUUGGGUUCCUUCCAAAGGCAGAAUAAGGGAAUGAUAACCCUGGCCUUGUUACUUCUCUUUUUUUAAAAGAUUCAUUUAUUUAUGUAUAUGAGUACACUGUUGCUGCCCUCAGACACACCAGAGGAGGGCAUCAGAUCCCAUUACAGAUGGUUGUGAGCCACCAUGUGGUUGUUUGAUUUGAACUCAGGACCUCUGGAAGAACAGUCAGUACUCUUAACCACUGAGCCGUCUCUCCAGCCUCACCCUUUGUUACCUUCUUAGGUCAGAUGCUUAGCUUUGUUAAUUGUUGACUUUAUCUGAAUAGAAGCCUGGAUAGCUACUCUACUCUCUGAGAACGUUCAUUUGUCAUGGGGCCAGGUAUAAAAAAUAGGGGUUUCUGCUUAGCAUAGGGGGUGACACAUGCUUUUAGUCCCAGCACUCAGAGUCAGAGACAGGUUGAUCCAUGAGUUCUAGGCCAGUCUUGUCUACAGAGCCAGGACAGCAGGGCUAUCAGAAAACUAGUCUCAAAAGACAAAGAAACAGCAGCAGCAGCAGCAGCAGCAGCAGCAGCAACAACAACAACAACAAAAACAAAAACAAAUCCAGUCAUGUGGCACCUGCCUAUAAUCCCAGCUCUGGGAUAUAUUUCAGGCCAAUAAGAGUCAACUGUCGCAAAAAAAAAAAAAAAAAAAAAAGUAGCUAGUACUUGAGGAACAACCUCUUCAGCUUCCAUAGGUGUCCUCCACACAGGCGCUUGCUCCCCUGUGAACUGGGCCAGCCACAUGGUGCCACCUGCCUGCGAUGCCAACAUUCAGGAGAUGUAAGCACGGAACUGAGAGGCAAUGCCAUCCUUUCUUGAUUGUGUAGGGAGUUUAGUCCGGCUAUGUGACACCCUGUCUCCAAACACACUUCCACCCUAAUCCCUUUUUUAAAAUACAAAAGGUGAAAAGAAAGGAAACUCAGAGCCUUAUAUAGAGGGGCAAAACUGGUGAUCCUCCUGCCUCUGCUAUGACCAACUGAAACUUGUUUUUCUAAAUCUAGGCUUUAAGGAAGCACGCCAAGUGUGUUUCUUCAGUUCACUGAAGUUAUUCUUAAUUUCUGUUGUUGCUGGGAGGAGUGGUGGAAAGCCAUUGCUACGAAGAAUCAUUCCUUUAAAAAUAACUUUUUCUCUCUCUAUCUGAUUUUAAGAUUUUCUCUUUAUCAUGUCCUGACAUAGGAGGUCAUACACAUACAAGAGUAAACACGACCACCGUAACAUUAAACCUCAGAGAGAGGUUCAGAGACAUGAAGAACUCCAAUAGAUCCUAAGUCUCUGUGGUGGCUUGUCAAUGUUUAGCCUGGGAGUGGCGCUAUUUGGAGGUGUGGCCUUGUUGGAGUAGGUGUGGCCUUGUUGAAGUAGGUGUGGCCUUGUUGGAGUAGAUGAGUCACUGUGGGCUUUAAUACCCUAGUCCUAGAUGCCUGGAAGUGAGUCUUCCACUUCCUUCAGAUGAAGAGUUAGAAUUCUCAUGCUUAGAUGCUGCCAUGCUCCUGCCUUGAUGAUAAUGGACUGAACCUCUGAACUUCUAAGUCAGCCCCAAUUAAAUGUUGUCCUUUAUACGA